UCGGCAUGUAGCGCAGCUUGGUAGCGCACCGUCAUGGGGUGUCGGGGGUCGAAGGUUCAAAUCCUUUCAUGCCGACCAA
Molecule: transfer RNA, 79 nt
Filed under: Yersinia pestis Angola
Lineage: Bacteria; Pseudomonadati; Pseudomonadota; Gammaproteobacteria; Enterobacterales; Yersiniaceae
Also listed under: 8 other names
Description: tRNA-Pro
Rfam family: tRNA
About the family: Transfer RNA (tRNA) molecules are approximately 80 nucleotides in length. Their secondary structure includes four short double-helical elements and three loops (D, anti-codon, and T loops).
Source: RNAcentral